Molecule: ribosomal RNA, 466 nt
Filed under: uncultured bacterium
Lineage: Bacteria
Description: bacterial SSU rRNA
Rfam family: Bacterial small subunit ribosomal RNA
Source: RNAcentral
CUCAGAAUCAACGCUGCGGCGUGCUCAGACAUGCAAGUCGAACGAUUAAAGCUCUCUUCGGAGAGUGCAUAGAGUGGCGCACGGGUGAGUAACACGUAAGUAAUCUACUUCGAGUGGGGAAUAACGUCCGAAACGGACGCUAAUACCGCAUAAUGCAGCGGCAUCGUAAGAUGACAGUUGUUAAAGAUUUAUCGCUUGAAGAGGAGCUUGCGGCAGAUUAGCUAGUUGGUAAGGUAAUGGCUUACCAAGGCUACGAUCUGUAACCGGUCUUAGAGGACGGUCGGUCACACUGACACUGAAUAACGGGUCAGACUCCUACGGGAGGCAGCAGUCGGGAAUUUUGGGCAAUGGGCGAAAGCCUGACCCAGCAACGCCGCGUGAAGGAUGAAGUAUUUCGGUAUGUAAACUUCGAAAGAAUAGGAAGAAUAAAUGACGGUACUAUUUAUAAGGUCCGGCUAACUACGUG